GAUGAACGCUAGCGACAGGCUUAACACAUGCAAGUCGAGGGGCAGCACAGGGUAGCAAGUACUUGGGUGGCGACCGGCGCACGGGUGAGUAACGCGUAUGCAACUUACCUAUCAGAGGGGAUACGCCCGGCGAAAGUCGGAUUAAUACCCCAUGAAACAGGGGUCCCGCAUGGGAAUAUUUGUUAAAGAUUCAUCGCUGAUAGAUAGGCAUGCGUUCCAUUAGGCAGUUGGCGGGGUAACGGCCCACCAAACCGACGAUGGAUAGGGGUUCUGAGAGGAAGGUCCCCCACAUUGGUACUGAGACACGGACCAAACUCCUACGGGAGGCAGCAGUGAGGAAUAUUGGUCAAUGGCCGAGAGGCUGAACCAGCCAAGUCGCGUGAAGGAAGAAGGAUCUAUGGUUUGUAAACUUCUUUUAUAAGGGAAUAAAGUGGGAGUCGUGACUCUUUUUGCAUGUACCUUAUGAAUAAGGACCGGCUAAUUCCGUG
Molecule: ribosomal RNA, 488 nt
Filed under: uncultured bacterium
Lineage: Bacteria
Description: bacterial SSU rRNA
Rfam family: Bacterial small subunit ribosomal RNA
Source: RNAcentral